UCCACGCGGAGCGGCGCGCGCGGCGUGCGGCGGGACGGAGGGGCGCUGGCGAGCUUCGAUGGCGGCGGCGAGCAGGCGAGGGCGGCGUCCCCUUCUCGGCCUCCCCUGCUCCCCUGCUCGGGAGCGGCGCGCCGCGGCCCCGCUCGGUCGCGCGCUGUGCCGCGGGUUCCGCCCGGCCGCGCGCCCCGCGGCAGCUCCUCCUCCCGAGGCCGCAGCAGCCCAGCGAGCUCCAGGGGUGGCGGCAGACCGGCGAGCUCCACGGAGUGGCGGCGGGCCGGCGAGCUCCACAGAGUGGCGGCGGACCGGCGAGCUCCACGGAGUGGCGGACCGGCGAGCUGGACCGCGCCCGCUGCCGCAACGCGGAGCUGGAGGAGCGGCUGCGGUGGCGCCCAUGGCUGCCCGCGACGCUCGGCUUCCUCUGUGGGAGGCACGCUGGUCGAGCGCGGGCGGAUGGCCGGCAAGGCGGGCGGAUGCGUUUGCCUCUCCAACUGUUGGAGGCACCAAGAAAAUACUCUAUUUCAACCACUGUAGACGCAAGGCAAAUUGCAUUUGCCUCUUCAAUUUGCCUCCCUCCUGUUGAAGUCAGUCUUAUGCUGCGAGCAAUGCCUUAUCUAGACCAUAAGCGGAGGCCCAUUUCCUUUGCUGGUAAAGUUAUCGAUGUGUGAACUGCCUAGGUUGGAAGAGGUGUGGAUGGUAGCAGAGAGGACCAUGCCUGAUGAAGAAGAGGGAGGAGGCUGCAGCAAUAGCACACCUCAUACAGGACAGGUCCGAGUUGGUAGUUGCUUAUCAAAGUUGGAAAUACUAAAAUGUCCUAGUUUGAAGGUGAAGCCAUACCUGCCUUCAUCCCUGCACAAGUUGAUGCUGUGCGGCUGCACCGAACAGCUGCUGCAGUCCUCCAAUUUUAGCCAGCUGAAGAAGCUCGUGGUAUGGGGGAACGGAGGAUUAGGAUCUGGGCGUGGGUGGGAGCUGCUGCAUCCAAUGACGGCACUCGAGUCAUUGGAGAUUCAGCAUUCCAGUGGUCUAAUUGAGCUGCCAGAGAGUUUGGGGAACCUCAAGUCCCUCCGGUCUCUGGAGGUGUUUGCAUGCUCUGCUAUUCGCAUGCUGCCCAUGUCGCUAGGGGAGCUUCCGUCUCUGCAAGAGCUGACCAUUACGAUCUGCCAUUGCUUCGAAAGCUUUCCACAAUCAAUAGGGCGUCUCACAUCCCUUCAGUUGCCCAAGAUAGUAAUGUGUGGUGCACUUCAGCAAUUACCCGAAUGCCUGGGAGGCCUUCGCUCUCUACGCAAACUCUGCCUUUCUAGGUUGCCGCUGCUGACUUGCAUUCCCCAAUCCAUUUGCCACCUCACCUCCCUUAAAGUGUUCUUGAUCGGGUGCUGUCCAGGCAUCAAAUCCUUGCCAGAAGGGGUAAAAGGGCUCACUGCUCUGCAGGAACUGGAUAUCCAUGGCUGCCCCAAUCUCGCGAGGCACUGCGAGAGGAGAAAGGGUGAGGGCUGGCACCUCAUCUCCCACAUCCCUCAUCUGCAGAUAGGACAGGAGAAGCUUGAUGCCACAUCAUCAUUUUAUUAAGUUCCAAGCUACAUAUGGGAACCCAUUGCUAGCAGCUAGAGAUUCAAAAAGUUCACCAAAGGUUGCCGAAGCUGGUAUUCUUGCAAUGGAGGUGCUCAUAAGCAGAUAUUUGUAAUUUGCAAUAUAUGGUCAUCUGUUGUGACCUCUAAAAAUAAAUUUGACCCAAUGUAGGAUCUUCAGGCAUGAAUAGAGCACACCGUUUGGGUCAAAGGAAAAUGGCGAAUAUUCACUGUCUCAUCAUGUGUGGCACCCUUGAGGAGACGGUGAUGAGUCUCCAGAGGUUCGAGGUAUCAGUGCGUGAUCCAUUGGCAUCCACCCCGAGAAAAGUAAACCUUGGGCAGUUUAUUUAUUUUUGCCAUUUAGCGAAACACGUGCAAAUGGUUUGUUUCUGAUCCUUUC
Panicum virgatum (switchgrass) is the source of this 1962-nucleotide RNA transcript. It is a transcript of the gene named disease resistance protein TAO1-like, with no coding region annotated. Lineage: Eukaryota; Viridiplantae; Streptophyta; Magnoliopsida; Poales; Poaceae. The transcript is spliced from 3 exons. The record is from RefSeq and is a predicted model, not a curated record.